AGCGAACGCUGGCGGCAGGCCUAACACAUGCAAGUCGAACGAACCUUUCGGGGUUAGUGGCGGACGGGUGAGUAACACGUGGGAACGUGCCUUUAGGUUCGGAAUAACUCAGGGAAACUUGUGCUAAUACCGAAUGUGCCCUUCGGGGGAAAGAUUUAUCGCCUUUAGAGCGGCCCGCGUCUGAUUAGCUAGUUGGUUGAGGUAAUGGCUCACCAAGGCGACGAUCAGUAGCUGGUCUGAGAGGAUGAUCAGCCACAUUGGGACUGAGACACGGCCCAAACUCCUACGGGAGGCAGCAGUGGGGAAUCUUGCGCAAUGGGCGAAAGCCUGACGCAGCCAUGCCGCGUGAAUGAUGAAGGUCUUAGGAUUGUAUAAUUCUUUCACCGGGGACGAUAAUGACGGUACCCGGAGAAGAAGCCCCGGCUAACUUCGUG
This 434-nucleotide ribosomal RNA is filed under the name uncultured bacterium. RNAcentral describes it as "partial 16S ribosomal RNA". It matches the Rfam family "Bacterial small subunit ribosomal RNA", at positions 29 to 507 of the family's 1533-position model. The record is from RNAcentral.